GACGAACGCUGGCGGCGUGCCUAAAACAUGCAAGUCGAACGGGGUCUUCGGACCCAGUGGCGAACGGCGGAGUAAUACAUAAGCAGCGUGCCCUGAAGACUGGGAUAUACGAUGGAAACGUCGGGCAAUACCAGAUGUGGUUGGGAGGAGUCAUCUUCAUCCAAUUAAACGGAUUUAUUCGCUUCGGGAGCGGCUUGUGGCCUAUCAGCUAGUUGGUGAGGUAAAGGCUCACCAAGGCGACGACGGGUAGGGGGUCUGAGAGGAUGAUCCCCUCGAGUGGGACUGAGACACGGCCCACACACCUACGGGUGGCAGCAGUUGGGAAUCUUGCACAAUGGGGGAAACCCUGAUGCAGCGACGCCGCGUGGAGGAUGAAGGAUUUCGGUCUGUAAACUCCUUUUACAGGGAAAGACUUAGGACGGUACCCUGUGAAUAAGCUCCGGCUAACUACGUGCCAGCAGCCGCGGU
This 468-nucleotide ribosomal RNA is filed under the name uncultured bacterium. Its description in RNAcentral is "bacterial SSU rRNA". It matches the Rfam family "Bacterial small subunit ribosomal RNA", at positions 28 to 521 of the family's 1533-position model. The record is from RNAcentral.